AUACGGAGGGGGUUAGCGUUGUUCGGAAUUACUGGGCGUAAAGCGCACGUAGGCGGAUUGGAAAGUUGGGGGUGAAAUCCCAGGGCUCAACCCUGGAACUGCCUCCAAAACUAACAGUCUAGAGUUCGAGAGAGGUGAGUGGAAUUCCAAGUGUAGAGGUGAAAUUCGUAGAUAUUUGGAGGAACACCAGUGGCGAAGGCGACUCACUGGCUCGAUACUGACGCUGAGGUGCGAAAGCGUGGGGAGCAAACAGGAUUAGAAACCCUAGUAGUCC
This 274-nucleotide ribosomal RNA is filed under the name uncultured bacterium. RNAcentral's name for it is "partial 16S ribosomal RNA". It matches the Rfam family "Bacterial small subunit ribosomal RNA", at positions 523 to 796 of the family's 1533-position model. The record is from RNAcentral.